GAUGAACGCUAGCGGCAGGCUUAACACAUGCAAGUCGAGGGGUAACAGGGUAGCAAUACUGCUGACGACCGGCAAACGGGUGCGGAACACGUACACAAUCUGCCUUUGUCUGGGGGAUAGCCCGAAGAAAUUCGGAUUAACACCCAUAUUAUAAUUAGGUGGCAUCACCUUGAUUAUUAAAACUCCGGUGGACAAAGAUGAGUGUGCGUCCCAUUAGCUAGUUGGUAGGGUAACGGCCACCAAGGCGACGAUGGGUAGCUGGUGUGAGAGCACGACCAGCCACACGGGCACUGAGACACGGGCCCGACUCCUACGGGAGGCAGCAGUGAGGAAUAUUGGUCAAUGGACGCAAGUCUGAACCA
RNAcentral lists this ribosomal RNA (362 nucleotides) under uncultured bacterium. Its description in RNAcentral is "bacterial SSU rRNA". It matches the Rfam family "Bacterial small subunit ribosomal RNA", at positions 28 to 390 of the family's 1533-position model. The record is from RNAcentral.